RNAcentral lists this ribosomal RNA (372 nucleotides) under uncultured organism. RNAcentral describes it as "bacterial SSU rRNA". It matches the Rfam family "Bacterial small subunit ribosomal RNA", at positions 526 to 896 of the family's 1533-position model. The record is from RNAcentral.
CGUAGGGCGCAAGCGUUGUCCGGAAUUAUUGGGCGUAAGAGCUCGUAGGCGGCUUGUCACGUCGGGUGUGAAAGCCCAGGGCUUAACCCCGGGUCUGCAUUCGAUACGGGCUAGCUAGAGUGUGGUAGGGGAGAUCGGAAUUCCUGGUGUAGCGGUGAAAUGCGCAGAUAUCAGGAGGAACACCGGUGGCGAAGGCGGAUCUCUGGGCCAUUACUGACGCUGAGGAGCGAAAGCGUGGGGAGCGAACAGGAUUAGAUACCCUGGUAGUCCACGCCGUAAACGGUGGGAACUAGGUGUUGGCGACAUUCCACGUCGUCGGUGCCGCAGCUAACGCAUUAAGUUCCCCGCCUGGGGAGUACGGCCGCAAGGCUA